ACGAAAUCGCAUUCAUGAUUCCACGGCUCGAAGUUGGUCGUGUUAUUGAUUGACCUUUGACCCAUUGGCUGUCUACAGACAUAAUACAAUAAGGCAUACAUAAUUUCAAAGGAGGUCAAAAAGACAGAAAGUUAAAAAUUGUUGGGGUUGUUCAAAUGAAGCACGCGACGCCCGGGGUUUAAAUUAACGCAGUUCCCGGAGCUCCAAUAGAUUCUGCAGGCGUGAGAGCAAAGGCUGGCGCCCUCAAGUCCCCACUCACCCUGGGCUCUCCUUUUUAUUAAUACCACCGCAUUUGCUUAAAUAAUG
RNAcentral lists this long non-coding RNA (306 nucleotides) under Citrus maxima (pomelo). RNAcentral describes it as "long non-coding RNA (CMAX_LNC002124)". The record is from RNAcentral. Lineage: Eukaryota; Viridiplantae; Streptophyta; Magnoliopsida; Sapindales; Rutaceae.